RNAcentral lists this ribosomal RNA (2657 nucleotides) under Chloroflexota bacterium. RNAcentral's name for it is "Chloroflexi bacterium partial 23S ribosomal RNA". It matches the Rfam family "Bacterial large subunit ribosomal RNA", at positions 1 to 2587 of the family's 2925-position model. The record is from RNAcentral. Lineage: Bacteria; Bacillati; Chloroflexota.
AGACAAGCGAGAGAGAGUACGAGGAGGAUGCCUAGGCGCUGAAGGCCGACGAAGGACGCGGAGACCGGCGAAACGUUCAGGGGGAGCUGCAUGCGAGCGAGGAGCCCUGAGAUUCCGAAUGGGGCAACCCCUCCAGAGUGAUGUCUGGAGACCCGCUGCUGAAUGCAUAGGCAGCGGGAGGGCAGCAGGCGAACUGAAACAUCUCAGUAGCCUGACGAGAAGAAAUCAAACGAGAUUCCCGUAGUAGUGGCGAGCGAACCGGGAGGAGCCCAAACCAGCGGUUUUUCGGAACCGCUGGGGUUGUAGGACCAGCACACGCGCGACCCACGCCGACUUGAAGGGGUUGGAAGGCCCCACCAUAGCGGGUGAGAGUCCCGUAGAGACAGGCGAUGGCGAGCGCGCUGGGAUCCUGAGUACCACGAACCCCGGUGAGUUUGUGGGAAGCUGGGGGGACCACCCUCCAAGGCUCAACACCUUCAGCGACCGAUAGUGAACUAGUACCGUGAGGGAAAGGUGAAAAGCGCCCCGAAAGGGGGAUGAAACAGACCCUGAAACCACGUACUCACCAGCAGUCAGAGGCCACUCUUGCAUCGUGCAAGUUAGGGCUGAUGGCGUGCCUUUUGUAGAAUGAUCCGGCGAGUGCAUCGUCGUCGCCUGGUUAACCUCCGCUAAAGGAGGGCAGCCACAGGGAAACCGAGUGUGAAGAGCGCGACGAACGAGUGGUGGCGAUGAUGCGACCCGAAACCACGUGAGCUAUCCAUGAGCAGAGUGAAGCGACUGUGAAAGGUCGUCGAGGCUCGCACCCACCAGUGUUGCAAAACUGGGGGAGGACUUGUGGAUAGGGGUGAAAUGCCAACCGAACGUGGAGAUAGCUGGUUCUCCCCGAAAUGUAUUGAGGUACAGCCACGAGCGGCGUGCUGCUGGAGGUAGAGCGCUGGCUGGGCAAGGGGCCAAGUGCUGGUUACCGAUCCCAACCAAACUUCCAAUGCCAGCAGACCAAGGGGCUCGUGAGUGAGACGGCGGGGGCUAAGCUUCGUCGUCCAAAGGGAAACAGCCCAGACCCGCAGCUAAGGUCUCAGAAUCGAUGCUCAGUGUGCAAGGCCGUGCGUGCGCAAAGACAGCCAGGAUGUUGGCUUAGAAGCAGCCAUCAUUGAAAGAGUGCGUAAUAGCUCACUGGUCGAGUGCGCGCGCACCGACAACGUAUCGAGGCUCAAGCAUCGUACCGAAGCUCGGGAUGUCCUCUCCCCAUCAGAGAGAGAGAGAGGGCAUGGUAGGGGAGCGUUGUGUGGGCAGGGAAGCCUGAUCGCAAGGACAGGUGGAGCGCACACAAGAGCGAAUGCCGGAAUGAGUAGCGUCAUGGGUGAGAGAACCACCCACACCGAAAGCCUGAGGGUUCCUGGGCAACGUCAGUCGUCCCAGGGUGAGUCGGGUCCUAAGCCGAGGACAUCACGUCGUAGGCGAUGGAAAGCAGGUCGGAAAUUCCUGCACCAGAGCCGGUCGUUACCGAGCCAAGCGGGGACGCGGUAGGGAACAUGAACCCAUCGAAUGGACAGGAUGGGCUGGCACCACGAAGCGCGAGACACAGGCAAAUCCGUGUCUCAUGAGAGCGUGACGGGUGCCACGAGUCCGCGCAAGCGGGCGGAAGUCAUGGCGCCCCACGCCGCCCAGAAAAGCCGCUAGCCAGACCGUGUUCUGCCCGUACCGCACACCGACACCGGUAGGCAGGGAGAACCCUCCCCAGGUGAACGAGCCAACCUCUGUCAAGGAACUCGGCAAAUUAACCCCGUACCUUCGGAAGAAGGGGUGCCCUAGUAGCUUUCUCUUGUGUUAUGCAAGAGAGGGCGAGGGGGUCGCAGGAAACUGGCUCAAGCGACUGUUUACCAAAAACACAGGUCUCUGCCAACGCGCAAGCGGACGUAUAGGGGCUGACUCCUGCCCAGUGCCGGAAGGUUAAGCGGAGCCGUGCGAGUAGCGGCGAAGCGAAGCCCCGGUGAACGGCGGCCGUAACUAUAACGGUCCUAAGGUAGCGAAAUUCCUUGUCGGGUAAGUUCCGACCCGCACGAAGGGAGUAACGACUUGAGCACUGUCUCGACAGGGGGCUCGGCGAAAUUGAAGUACCCGUGAAGAUACGGGUUCCCCACGACAGGACAAAAAGACCCCGUGGAGCUUUACUACACCCUGGUCUGGAGACGAGCUGAUGCCUGCGUAGCAUAGGUGGGAGCCGGUGAACCCUCUUUUGCGGAAGAGGGGGAGGCAACACUGAAAUACCACUCUUGCAUGAGUUUGUCGCUCAUGCCCAUCCGUAAGCCGGAGGGCAGACAGGGCCAGGCGGGUAGUUUGACUGGGGCGGUCGCCUCCCAAAGCGUAACGGAGGCGCCCAAGGGUUCCCUCAGGGUGAAUGGACACCACCCGCAUAGAGUGCAAAGGCACAAGGGAGCUUGACUGCGAGGCCGACGAGCCGAGCAGGGACGAAAGUCGGGCUUAGUGAUCCCACAUUUCCGCGUGGAAGGAGUGUGGCUCAACGGAUAAAAGCUACCCCGGGGAUAACAGGCUGAUCUUGCCCAAGAGUUCACAUCGACGGCAAGGUUUGGCACCUCGAUGUCGGCUUGGCGCAUCCUGGGGCUGGAGUAGGUCCCAAGGGUUGGGCUGUUCGCCCA